CCUGACCCAGCGACGUCGCGUGGGUGAUGAAGGCCUUCGGGUCGUAAAGCCCUUUUAUGCGGAAAGAAUAAUCCUGUGGUGAAUAUCCACAGGAUCUGACGGUACCGCAGGAAGAAGCACCGGCUAACUCCGUGCCAGCAGCCGCGGUAAUACGGAGGGUGCAAGCGUUGUUCGGAAUUACUGGGCGUAAAGGGCGUGUAGGCGGUUGUGCAAGUCAGAUGUGAAAUCUUCCGGCUUAACCGGAGAACUGCAUCUGAAACUGCACAGCUAGAGUACAGGAGAGGGAAACGGAAUUCCCGGUGUAGAGGUGAAAUUCGUAGAUAUCGGGAGGAACACCAGUGGCGAAGGCGGUUUCCUGGCCUGAUACUGACGCUGAGGCGCGAAAGCAUGGGGAGCAAACAGGAUUAGAUACCCUGGUAGUCCAUGCCAUAAACGAUGAACACUAGGAGUGGGAGGUGUAAUACCUUCUGUGCCGAAACUAACGCGUUAAGUGUUCCGCCUGGGAAGUACGGCCGCAAGGUUGAAACUCAAAGGAAUGGACGGA
This 544-nucleotide ribosomal RNA is filed under the name uncultured Syntrophorhabdus sp. Its description in RNAcentral is "bacterial SSU rRNA". It matches the Rfam family "Bacterial small subunit ribosomal RNA", at positions 382 to 917 of the family's 1533-position model. Lineage: Bacteria; Pseudomonadati; Thermodesulfobacteriota; Syntrophorhabdia; Syntrophorhabdales; Syntrophorhabdaceae. The record is from RNAcentral.